This 461-nucleotide ribosomal RNA is filed under the name uncultured bacterium. RNAcentral's name for it is "partial 16S ribosomal RNA". It matches the Rfam family "Bacterial small subunit ribosomal RNA", at positions 338 to 795 of the family's 1533-position model. The record is from RNAcentral.
CCUACGGGUGGCAGCAGUGAGGAAUAUUGGUCAAUGGACGAGAGUCUGAACCAGCCAAGUAGCGUGAAGGAUGACUGCCCUAUGGGUUGUAAACUUCUUUUAUAAAGGAAUAAAACGAGGCACGUGUGCCUUUUUGCAUGUACUUUAUGAAUAAGCAUCGGCUAACUCCGUGCCAGCAGCCGCGGUAAUACGGGGGAUGCAAGCGUUAUCCGGAUUUAUUGGGUUUAAAGGGAGCGUAGGUUGGGAGGUAAGUCAGCGGUGAAAUGCUCCCGCUCAACGGGUUGAAGUGCCAUUGAUACUGCCUGUCUUGAGUGCGGAUGCGGUAGGAGGAAUGUGUGGUGUAGCGGUGAAAUGCUUAGAUAUCACGCAGAACACCGAUUGCGAAGGCAUCUCACGAAUCCGCGAUUGACGCUGAUGCACGAAAGCGUGGGUAUCAAACAGGAUUAGAUACCCGGGUAGUC